This 253-nucleotide ribosomal RNA is filed under the name uncultured bacterium. Its description in RNAcentral is "partial 16S ribosomal RNA". It matches the Rfam family "Bacterial small subunit ribosomal RNA", at positions 524 to 776 of the family's 1533-position model. The record is from RNAcentral.
UACGAGUGCCUCAAGCGUUAUCCGGAAUCACUGGGCGUAAAGAGCAUGUAGGUGGUCUUGUUAGUCCUCCGUUAAAGCUCCUGGCUUAACCGGGAAGAUGCGGAGGAAACGGCAAGACUAGAGGGCGCGAGAGGUUUGCGGAACUCAUGGUGUAGGGGUGAAAUCCGUUGAUAUCAUGGGGAACACCAAAUGCGAAGGCAGCAAACUGGCGCGCUCCUGACACUCUAGUGCGAAAGCGUGGGUAGCGAAUGGG